GAUGAAGAACACAGCGAAAUGCGAUAAGUAGUGUGAAUUGCAGAAUUCAGUGAAUCAUCGAAUCUUUGAACGCACAUUGCGCCCCUUGGUAUUCCAUGGGGCAUGCCUGUUCGAGCGUCAUUUGUACCUUCAAGCUCUGCUUGGUGUUGGGUGUUUGUCUCGCCUCUGCGUGUAGACUCGCCUCAAAAUAAUUGGCAGCCGGCGUAUUGAUUUCGGAGCGCAGUACAUCUCGCGCUUUGCACUCAUAACGACGACGUCCAAAAGUACAUUUUUACACUCUUGACCUCGGAUCAGGUAGGGAUACCCGCUGAACUUAAGCAUAUCAAUAAGCGGAGGA
RNAcentral lists this unclassified non-coding RNA (337 nucleotides) under soil metagenome. Its description in RNAcentral is "partial contains 5.8S ribosomal RNA, internal transcribed spacer 2, and large subunit ribosomal RNA". The stretch from base 1 to 120 matches the Rfam family "5.8S ribosomal RNA", at positions 35 to 154 of the family's 154-position model. The record is from RNAcentral.